UUGCAUCCACUGACAGGCCUUGAACAAUAUAACGUUGUUCUUUUGGUUUGCACUAGGAUGCGAAAGAAAAAAAAUCCCUGUGCUGUCUGCCUGUGUGGCGGCCUGGAUUGAAUAGGGGACUAUAUCU
Small nucleolar RNA from Phyllostomus hastatus (greater spear-nosed bat), 127 nucleotides. RefSeq annotates it as small nucleolar RNA SNORA31. The record is from RefSeq and is a predicted model, not a curated record. The transcript has a single exon. Lineage: Eukaryota; Metazoa; Chordata; Mammalia; Chiroptera; Phyllostomidae.